This 845-nucleotide ribosomal RNA is filed under the name Candelariella sp. Its description in RNAcentral is "partial large subunit ribosomal RNA". It matches the Rfam family "Eukaryotic large subunit ribosomal RNA", at positions 67 to 931 of the family's 3401-position model. Lineage: Eukaryota; Fungi; Ascomycota; Candelariomycetes; Candelariales; Candelariaceae. The record is from RNAcentral.
AACAGGGAUUGCCUCAGUAACGGCGAGUGAAGCGGCAACAGCUCAAAUUUGAAAUCUGGCCCCUCCGGGCCCGAGUUGUAAUUUGCAGAGGACGCUUCGGGUGCGGCGCCAGUAUAAGUUCCUUGGAACAGGACGUCAUAGAGGGUGAGAAUCCCGUAUGUGACUGNAUGCCCAGCUCAUGUGAAGCCCGUUCGACGAGUCGAGUUGUUUGGGAAUGCAGCUCUAAAUGGGUGGUAAAUUUCAUCUAAAGCUAAAUACCGGCCAGAGACCGAUAGCGCACAAGUAGAGUGAUCGAAAGAUGAAAAGCACUUUGGAAAGAGAGUUAAAAAGCACGUGAAAUUGUUGAAAGGGAAGCGCUUGCAAUCAGACUUGCCCGCAGUCGUUCAGCCGGUGUUCUCACCGGUGUACGCUUCUGCGGUCAGGCCAGCAUCAGCCUGGGCGGUCGGAUAAAGGCCUYGAGAAUGUAGCUUCCCUCGGGGAGUGUUAUAGCUCUCGGUGCAAUGCAGCCUGCCUGGACUGAGGACCGCGCUUCGGCUAGGAUGCUGGCGUAAUGGUUGUAAGCGACCCGUCUUGAAACACGGACCAAGGAGUCUAACAUCUAUGCAAGUGUUUGGGUGUCAAACCCAUGCGCGUAAUGAAAGUGAACGGAGGUGGGAACCCUCAAGGGUGCACCAUCGACCGAUCCUGAUGUCUUCGGAUGGAUUUGAGUAAGAGCAUAACUGUUGGGACCCGAAAGAAGGUGAACUAUGCCUGAAUAGGGUGAAGCCAGAGGAAACUCUGGUGGAGGCUCGCAGCGGUUCUGACGUGCAAAUCGAUCGUCAAAUUUGGGUAUAGGGGCGAAAGAC